This 373-nucleotide ribosomal RNA is filed under the name uncultured organism. RNAcentral describes it as "partial 16S ribosomal RNA". It matches the Rfam family "Bacterial small subunit ribosomal RNA", at positions 527 to 897 of the family's 1533-position model. The record is from RNAcentral.
GUAGGGAGCAAGCGUUGUUCGGAAUUAUUGGGCGUAAAGAGCGCGUAGGCGGCCAGGUAAGUCUGGUGUGAAAUCCCACAGCUCAACUGUGGAACUGCAUUGGAAACUGCUUGGCUAGAGUGCGGGAGAGGAGAGUGGAAUUCCCAGUGUAGAGGUGAAAUUCGUAGAUAUUGGGAGGAACACCAGUGGCGAAGGCGGCUCUCUGGACCGCAACUGACGCUGAGGCGCGAAAGCUAGGGGAGCGAACGGGAUUAGAUACCCCGGUAGUCCUAGCCGUAAACGAUGGGCACUAGGUGUAGGAGGUAUCGACCCCUUCUGUGCCGUAGCUAACGCAUUAAGUGCCCCGCCUGGGGAGUACGGUCGCAAAGACUAA